Molecule: ribosomal RNA, 732 nt
Filed under: uncultured Leptotrichia sp.
Lineage: Bacteria; Fusobacteriati; Fusobacteriota; Fusobacteriia; Fusobacteriales; Leptotrichiaceae
Description: bacterial SSU rRNA
Rfam family: Bacterial small subunit ribosomal RNA
Source: RNAcentral
GAUGAACGCUGACAGAAUGCUUAACACAUGCAAGUCGAUGGGGAAGUGGUGCUUGCACCAUGGUAACCAUGGCGGACGGGUGAGUAACGCGUAAGGAACUUGCCUGCGGGACUGGGAUAACAGCAGGAAACUGCUGAUAAUACCGGAUAAGGUCAUUAAGCUGCAUAGCUUAGUGAUGAAAGGAGACGCCUGCGGAGAGCCUUGCGUCCUAUUAGCUAGUUGGAGGGGUAACGGCCCACCAAGGCGAAGAUAGGUAGCCGGCCUGAGAGGGUGGACGGCCACAAGGGGACUGAGAUACGGCCCUUACUCCUACGGGAGGCAGCAGUGGGGAAUAUUGGACAAUGGGGGCAACCCUGAUCCAGCAAUUCUGUGUGCACGAAGACGGUUUUCGGAUUGUAAAGUGCUUUCAGCAGGGAAGAAGGAAGUGACGGUACCUGCAGAAGAAGCGACGGCUAAAUACGUGCCAGCAGCCGCGGUAAUACGUAUGUCGCGAGCGUUAUCCGGAAUUAUUGGGCAUAAAGGGCAUCUAGGCGGCCUUUCAAGUCAGGGGUGAAAACCUGCGGCUCAACCGCAGGCCUGCCUUCGAAACUGAUAGGCUGGAGUACCGGAGAGGUGGACGGAACUGCACGAGUAGAGGUGAAAUUCGUAGAUAUGUGCAGGAAUGCCGAUGAUGAAGAUAGUUCACUGGACGGUAACUGACGCUGAAGUGCGAAAGCCGGGGGAGCGAACAGG